CCAACUCGACUCCGCAUACCUA
RNAcentral lists this non-coding RNA (22 nucleotides) under Arabidopsis thaliana (thale cress). Lineage: Eukaryota; Viridiplantae; Streptophyta; Magnoliopsida; Brassicales; Brassicaceae. The record is from RNAcentral.